AAUGAACGCUGGCGGCGUGCUUUACACAUGCAAGUCGAGCGAGGCGGCCCGCAAGGGCCAGUCGAGCGGCGAACGGGUGAGUAACGCGUGGAUUAUCUGCCCUGAGGUGGGGGAUAACCCGGGGAAACUCGGGCUAAUACCGCAUAUGACCGUGAGGUCAAAGGGGGGUCGCAAGAUCUCUCGCCAUAGGAGGAGUCCGCGUUCGAUUAGCUAGUUGGCAGGGUAAUGGCCUACCAAGGCGACGAUCGAUAGCCGGCCUGAGAGGGUGAUCGGCCACACUGGAACUGAGACACGGUCCAGACUCCUACGGGAGGCAGCAGUGGGGAAUUUUGCGCAAUGGGCUAACGCCUGACGCAGCAACGCCGCGUGGAGGAUGAAGGUCCUUGGAUUGUAAACUCCUGUCAGCAGGGAAAAAGCAACUCGGCCUCAUACGCCGGGAAGUUGAUUGUACCUGCAGAGGAAGCCCCGGCUAACUCUGUGCCAGCAGCCGCGGUAAUACAGAGGGGGCAAGCGUUAUUCGGAAUUAUUGGGCGUAAAGGGCGCGUAGGCGGCCUGGCAAGUGGAAGGUGAAAUCCCUCGGCUUAACCGAGGAACUGCCCUCCAAACUGCCUGGCUUGAGACCGGGAGAGGUGAGUGGAAUUCCCAGUGUAGCGGUGAAAUGCGUAGAUAUUGGGAGGAACACCAGUGGCGAAGGCGGCUCACUGGACCGGAACUGACGCUGA
Molecule: ribosomal RNA, 722 nt
Filed under: uncultured bacterium
Lineage: Bacteria
Description: bacterial SSU rRNA
Rfam family: Bacterial small subunit ribosomal RNA
Source: RNAcentral